GACGAACGCUGGCGGCGUGCUUAACACAUGCAAGUCGAACGGAAAGGCCCUGCGUUUUUGGGGUGCUCGAGUGGGGAACGGGGGAGUAACACGUGAGUAACCUGCCCUUGACUUUGGGAUAGCUUCAGGAAACUGGGGCUAAUACCGUAUAGGAUAUCCUGCUGCAUGGUGGGGGUUGGAAAGUUUCGGCGGGUGGGGAUGGACUCGCGGCUUAUCAGCUUGUUGGUGGGGUAGUGGCUUACCAAGGCUUGGACGGGUAGCCGGCCUGAGAGGGUGACCGGCGACCAUGGGACUGAGAUACGGACCAGACUCCUACGGGAGGCAGCAGUGGGGAAUCUUGCACAAUGGGCGGAAGCCUGAUGCAGCGACGCCGCGUGCGGGAUGACGGCCUUUGGGUUGUAAACCGCUUUCGCCUGUGACGAAGCGUGAGUGACGGUAAUGGGUGAAGAAGCACCGGCUAACUACGUG
RNAcentral lists this ribosomal RNA (468 nucleotides) under uncultured bacterium. RNAcentral's name for it is "partial 16S ribosomal RNA". It matches the Rfam family "Bacterial small subunit ribosomal RNA", at positions 28 to 507 of the family's 1533-position model. The record is from RNAcentral.